RNAcentral lists this ribosomal RNA (470 nucleotides) under uncultured bacterium. Its description in RNAcentral is "SSU rRNA". It matches the Rfam family "Bacterial small subunit ribosomal RNA", at positions 26 to 518 of the family's 1533-position model. The record is from RNAcentral.
AGGACUAACGCUGGCGGCGUGCCUAACACAUGCAAGUCGAACGAGGGGUAGCAAUACCCCUAGUGGCAGACGGGUGAGUAACACGUAGUCAACCUACCUCUUAAUGGGGGAUAACUAGCCGAAAGGUUAGCUAAUACCGCAUACGAUCGUCGAGUGGCAUCACACGACGAUGAAAGGAGCAAUCCGUUGAGAGAGGGGACUGCGUCCCAUUAGUUAGUUGGUGGGGUAAUGGCCUACCAAGACUCCGAUGGGUAGCUGGCUUGAGAGAGCGACCAGCCACACUGGAACUGAGACACGGUCCAGACUCCUACGGGAGGCAGCAGUGAGGAAUUUUCCGCAAUGGGGGAAACCCUGACGGAGCGACGCCGCGUGUGGGAAGAAGGCCUUCGGGUCGUAAACCGACUGUCGAGGGGGACGAUAUUGACGGUACCCCUGGAGGAAGCCCCGGCUAACUACGUGCCAGCAGCCGC